Molecule: long non-coding RNA, 6385 nt
Filed under: Sus scrofa (pig)
Lineage: Eukaryota; Metazoa; Chordata; Mammalia; Artiodactyla; Suidae
Description: lncRNA (ENSSSCG00065058743.1)
Source: RNAcentral
GACUUAAGAGCCACGUACGUUUCCAGCUGCUUCCUUUCCCCCUUGAAGCUCGAGGUUGGACCCCAGCAGAGGCGGCUUGACGGUGCAUCAGAGGUGAACAAGGGACUUGACGGCGAGGCCCGGAGACUCGUGCUUUAUCCCGGAGUCUCCUCUGAUGCCCCGGCUGGAGCAUGUGAAGAUUGUGAGUUCAGAUUUGUAGUGGUGAAUUUAUGUGUUUUGAGGGGAAUUACGGCUUAGUGGGUCACUUUGUGCAAUGCAAAGGUAGGUACCAGGAUUCUUCUGUAUAUGAAAAAGUUCAGUCGUGUCUUUCUGCCGAAAUGUGCUUUAUUUUGGUGACUGUUCUGGGUGAGUUGAGUAUGGUCUGCUCUUACUGGUUGGGAUAUUCAAUAAAUGCCAGUUAGAGCAGGUUGGUUGGUAGUUUGGGGCAGGUCCAGUAUAACCUUUCUGAUCUUCUGUCUUGCUGGUCUCUCCGUUACUGAAUGAGGGGUGUUGGAGUCUACAGCUAUAGUAGUGGGUCUGUUUCUCCAUGGGAUUUGAUCAGUUUUUGCCUCAAAUAUUUUGCUGCUCUGCUGUUAUGUGCAUUCAUUUUAAGGAUUGUUAUGUCUUCUUGGAAACUACCUCUUUUAUCAUGAUUUAAUAUCCUUAUUUAUCCUCAGCAAUUUUUCUUGUGAAGUUUUUGUCUUCUAAAUUUGUAGCUAAUCCAGCUUUCUUUUGGUUAGUGGUGCUGUGAGCAUGUCUUUCUCUAGCCCUUGACUUUUAAUCCGUGAACGUUUAUCUUUUAAAGUAGAUUUCUCGUAGAUAGCAUAUAGUUGAGACUAAUUUUAUUAUCCACUCUUAAAGUCUCUAUAUUUUAAUUGGUAUAUUUAGGCCAUUCACAACUAAAGAAAUAAAUGAUAUAGUUGGAUUAACAUCUGCUGUGUUUGCAACUAUUUUCUAUUCAUUGUGCUUGUAUUUUGUUUCUCUUUUUCUCUUCUACCUUAUCUGCCUUCUGUGGCUUUAAUUGAGCACUUUAUGGGUUUGUUUUCUCUCCUCUCUUAGAACAUUCUUUAUGUUUUCUUAAUAAACAUUUUAGGUGUUGUUUAGAAUUUGCAGUGUGAAUUCUCAGUGACCCCAAGUCCAUCCUCAAAUACCCCUUUCCUACUUCACAAACAGUCUCUGAAUCUCAGAGCAAAUGACGCUCAGUAUCUGCCUCCUGUCAUUAAUUUUCUUUAUCCACACACACUGAUUCCCAAUACGAUGUUACUGCUAUUGCUUUAAACAAACUGCUGUCUUUUCGACCAGGUAACAUGAAAGAUAAAGAAUUUCAUUCUCCCUUAAUUUCGUCGUCUUCCAGUGUGCUUCCAUUUUCAGACAGAUGCAGGUUUCUGGCCUGUUUCAAUUCCCUUCUCGCUGAAAGAAUGUAUGUAAGUUAUACUUCAACAUAUUUUUUUUAAAAAAUCAAGUCCACUUCCAUGUUGGGGUGACGUCGAGGGGAGAUGAGUCAAACAGCCACCAUGGAGGGGGUACGGGGAGUCGGAAGGGGGGUUGGGUGCAUUGAGUCCCCGCUGUUUUUUCAGCUAAAGAAUGGUUCACGUGGUGGCGUGUUUCUGGGUGGCUCUGAAAUAUGUCUGAGUUAAACACAAGUUCAUAAGAUGUUUGAAACUGUGGAACUCUUCUCUUUCUGUUUUCCUGUAAGGAAACUCCACCUUAGAAAUGGUGUUGGCUCGAGUGCAGAAACUACUUAAACUCUGAGAAAUCCAUGGGAGCAAAUAUUACACUUUGUUCUGAGAUUCUGAUUCAGUCCACCUAAUUCUAAUUAUCCUGCGAUGAAUGAAUUAAAACCAUCUGAUUGAGUCAUGUUUGUAAAAUGCUCUCAUUAGUAACUCCUCUGAAUGUUUUGAUUGUUUCUUUUUAUAAUCAUCUGGUCAUGUGGCCCCUUUUAAAGCUUAAAUGUCAAACAUAGACGUCAGUGGAGUCACGUGAAAGAUUCGACAUGUGCCAUCGUCAUGCGUCCCGUUCGGAAACGUCUCAUUAGACUGUCCUCGGUGGGCUCCUGCUCGAGAGGCUGCGCGUGGUUUCAGUUAUUUGCUGCAGAACGCAAGCCUAUAAAAUAUAAAACUAUGAUGAAAUGGAAAGAAUGUUUUGAGGCAGCUACAGACAAAACCCUGCCGUCGGGAUGAAAGGCUGGAUGAGUCACGUAGCCGGGGAGAUGUGAUCACCCCGGCCAAGCCAGGCGACCGCGUCUGCGAGGCCGAUUGCUCAACCGGGACGCCUCCCCACUGGCCCAGAGGCCCCGGGUCACAUGGCGGGGCAGGACCCUGGGCAGGCAGGCGCCGCACGUGUCCUAACGGGAUGGGCCGAGCUCCCCAGCGGCAGAGAGCCAGCGCCCCCAGGGAUGCUCGGCCUGGCCGACUUUGCUCCCGAGGAGCUGUCCCCAGAGGAGGUGUGGCGUGUGCGCCUGGGCCGCGAGGGGCAGGCCGGAGCCAGACACACGGUGGUCUCUGGGGCGGGGGUCAGUGCCGCUUUCAUUCAGGCCUCUGGGGUCCAUGGCCUCCAGGAGGAAGUAGAAGGUCAUGGGGGGUCGAGGAGGCGUGUUCGGGAUGACGCCAGGCAUUCAUGCCUUCAGCGCUCACCCCCUGCUGCAAACAGCAAGGGUUUAGAAACAGUGAAAACCAAGGGAGACAAAGGAAGCAGCAGAGCCCAGAGCUUCCCAGUGAGACGGUCACAGCAGGGCCCCCUGCUGGCCGGGGCGGGGGGGGGGGGGGGGGGGGCGGGGGUGCCUGGGGCAGGACCGGUGUGGACAUGGGGGGAGGGAAGGCCCAGGUCACGGUUCCUACUGAUGGGACGUGGGCCUGUCCUGUUCUCCCGCCACCUCGGCUGAACACUUGCCCUGGAGUCUGGCCCUCUGCCCAUUCUUGCUGCACUUGGUCUGCACGGGGCCCAGCACCCGGCAGGGUCAGCUUUCUCGGGACAAAAGCCACCAGCCCCCGCUGUGUUAAGUUCAUGGUCACGGGGGUAGAAGGGGCAGCCACGGGACUGCAGCAUGGCGUCCCAUGGCCGGUACCGGGGCAGGUGACCCCUGGAACCGGUGAGUCAUUCUCGAAGUGGCCCCAGGGCGUGUGGGCCCCGGGCAGGAGCAGACGCUGUGGGAUAAACCAAGUGGUGGCUUGGAACCUUCGACGCGCACGCUGAGCAGCAUGAAAGGUCCACGAGAUCCAGGACCUGGCCGACGGGAGGCUGCCCUCAGCCCCUGAGCCCCGAGCAGCUUAGGGGCCGUGGUGUCAGGUGAGCCCAGUCAUUGCGGCCGGAGUCCCAGAGCAGUGAGCUGGGAGCUGAGUUUCCAAGGACGAGUGUGUGGGGACAGGCCAGCAACUCUGGAGAGAAGAGCACAUGUAGGACACGGACAUGGGCCCAGGGCCGGUGCCCUUGACCCCACCCCACGUGCUGAACAGAGGCGGCCGUGCUGGGCAGGGGCCCGGGUCCCCGAGUGCUCAGCAGUGGGGGGACUCCUCCGUGGGCCAGCAGACAGCCCUUUUGGUGGGAGGGUCGGAGGAGACGGAGGCCCUAUGAAGGCGGCCUGUUUUCAGGGCCAGGGAACUUCCCUGUGGGCGCCAGACAAAGGCAGCCUGGGCCCUCCCGACGCCAUCUCUGCUCGGCCCCCGUGGGCGCCCCCGGCCACCCACCGUCACUGGUCACACACACAGGUGUGGUUCGCUUGGUUCAAGAGUGUGUCUUUGUGGGGAAGAGACCUGCCCUUGACCGAGACGUGCCUUCUUCCUGGGCGUGGUCUCCGUCACGGGGUUCAUCUCAUGGGCUUCAGUUUUCUUACCUAGAAAGCGUGAAUCAUCACGCUCAGUCUUAGACUGCGGAGAGGCUCAGGUGUGCCCUGUGUGGCCCAUCAGCGGUGCUGAUUCCUCAGCCAGCGCCGUGGCCUGGGCCCCUUGGGGAAGGGUCUGCGUGUGGGGAAGGGUCCUGCGGGGAAGGCUCUCUCGGGACUCAGGACCCCGUGGAGUCAGACCAGUGGAGGAGGCCGAGCAGUCCUGCUGCCCGAGGUCCCCUCGAGUCCAGGGCGUUUGGGGGGGAGGAUGGCGGCGUCUUUUCCCCGAGCUGAGUCCCAGGCCAGCAGCGUCGGGUCGGGAACGUCCAGUUGGGAGGAUCGGGUCUGGACACGUGCAUCUGGAGGAGCACAGGUGAGAGGGGAGCUGGUGGGAACAGGUGGUUGUGCAGGAGGGAGGGUCCUGGGUGAGGACGCGGCUGAGGACGGGCCCUGGGACCCACACAGUGACUGUGGUGGGGACAGCAUCUGCCACAGAGCGCUGGGGACAGGCCCUGCGAGAGGAGGAGCCCACCCCAGGGUCCCAUCCACGCGGCCCCCGCCGGAGCCCACCCGUCCUCCAGAUGGAAGGGGUGCGGCCGACUGGGGGGGAUGGACUUCUCCCGUGGGCCUUCCUUGGGGGCUCUGUUGGGCUCCCGCUAAAAACUCGUCCUCAUCUGGCCUGAAAAGGCCAAGCCCGUCCCACCACUGAGGGUUCGGCUCGUCCGUUUCCUGCUUUAGGGACGGAGGGAGGAGCUGUGAUGACGGGAGUGGAGCUCCGGCCCCAGCUUUUGAUUAAAACGUCAGCAUCGCCGGUCGCCGUGCUGUCAGCCAGUCAUGCGUUUCGGCUUCUUCCUCAACGUUCCUUUCACGUGGUCCCCACGGCAGGUUGACAGCCGCGAGCGGGGGAGCCUGUGCCCGAAUCCCAUGCACAGCACUGUCCCGGGAAAGUCGUCACCCGAGCAGCCGAAGACGGCAUCCCGCUUCUAGACCGAGCGCAGGGCGUUCCCAGCGUGUCUGGGGAAGGGCCGUGGGGACGCUGCUGGGAGGAAGCGGAAGCUCCUUACUGCGCCUUGUGAGGGUCCCUUUGCAGAAGUCCUGCCCGUGUCCCAGGAGGAGGUGGCUCCCUUCCAGCCCCAACGCUGGAGCCCAGGGCCAGCCCUGCACCUGUCCUUGGAGCCCUCGGGUGUCCCUCAGCCACCAAAGCAGGAAUUGGCGUUUCUGUGCAGUCACAGUUCAUGCUCUGUGAGGUGCAGCGGACACGCAUGCACACGGAUGCGCAGCCCUGUGCACACACAGAGCACUCAGUGCACCUGCGCUCAGCAUCACGCAACCUGUGAUGGAAGCGGUUCCUUAGUGACAGGACCUCCGCUUAAGCUUCUGCAUCUUGUUCCCCUAAAUGUCACAAUAAUUUAAAAAUUGUCUCUAGAGCUCACCCUGGCCCUACCUGGAAGUGCCAUCAGCUGGCGUCUCCUGCUCUGCCUCCUGAGUAUGUCCCCUUUUGCUCCUGCAAAAUCCUUCCCCGAGAAUCAGGCCACCACACAGGUGCCGGGUGCUGCUGGACACGGGUUGUCCGAGGUGACUUGGGGCUGAGAUGCGCUGUUUCCUCCUCCUCCGGGGCAGAGCUGCAAGACUGGGAACCUGGGAUGCAGACAGGUGUGCUCGCUGGCUGGGAAGGUCAGAAAGGACAAGCUGCCGUGGGGACGUUUCCUUUCCCGUUUUGCCUGCGGAGCCCCUACUUGUAAUGCGCCACGGACCCGCUAUGGGGACGUUAAGUGUGGCUUAUUCUGAGCGGUUGAUGCCCAGACCCGGGGCACAAUUUCACACGUUCCUCAGGCUCCAGAGCGGGUGUCGGUCCUGCACCCGAGCCUCCCCGGCUCCCCGCCCAGUCCCUCUGGGAGGCAAAGCCAUGUCGUCUCUCUCCUGCACUGUCCUGGAAAUACGCGACCCCAGGUGGGUUUGCUUGUAAAGGCGGUGUGAGGACUGCCUGAAUUCUGGCAGCUGUUUCUGUGUUUUGGACUAAACAGCCCAGGAAGCAAUCAAAUAUCAGGAAAAGGUUUAUCUGACUUGGAAAGGGGAUCCCAGGUCCCCCUCAGGGCCUGGGAGGGAGGAAUGGACCAGCACCCGGAGUUCCCGUCGCGGCUCAGGGUAACGAACCCUACCAGGAUCCAUGAGGAUACGGACUUGAUCCCUGGCCUUGCUCUGUGGGUUACGGAUCUGGCGUUGCCGUGAGCUAUGGUGUAGGUCACAGAUGCGGCUUGGAUUCUGCAGGGCUGUGGCUGUGGUGUAGGCCGCAGUUGCAGCUCUGAUUUGACCCCUAGUCUGAGAUCUUCCAUAUGCCGUGGGUGCAGCCCUAAAAAGACCAAAAAAAAAAGAGAGAGAGAGAGAGAGAGAGAGAAAGGGCUAGUGCUGAGUGGCUGGCAGCACUGACCUUGGGCCCAUCUUCCUGGAGUGAGACUCGGCCACACUCCCUCCAGCAGCUGCUCUGGGUGCGGCCAGAUACCGGCAUCAGCCUUCCGUCAUUCAUGUGUCUAUGGUUUGUGGACCAGAAAAACAAACAAAUAUUUCUUUUUAAUAAAACUCACCCUGCAU